GAUGAACGCUGGCGGCGUGCCUAAUACAUGCAAGUCGAGCGAACAGACGAGGAGCUUGCUCCUCUGACGUUAGCGGCGGACGGGUGAGUAACACGUGGAUAACCUACCUAUAAGACUGGGAUAACUUCGGGAAACCGGAGCUAAUACCGGAUAAUAUAUUGAACCGCAUGGUUCAAUAGUGAGAGACGGUUUUGCUGUCACUUAUAGAUGGAUCCGCGCCGCAUUAGCUAGUUGGUAAGGUAACGGCUUACCAAGGCAACGAUGCGUAGCCGACCUGAGAGGGUGAUCGGCCACACUGGAACUGAGACACGGUCCAGACUCCUACGGGAGGCAGCAGUAGGGAAUCUUCCGCAAUGGGCGAAAGCCUGACGGAGCAACGCCGCGUGAGUGAUGAAGGUCUUCGGAUCGUAAAACUCUGUUAUUAGGGAAGAACAAAUGUGUAAGUAACUAUGCACGUCCUGACGGUACCUAAUCAGAAAGCCACGGCUAACUACGUG
This 497-nucleotide ribosomal RNA is filed under the name uncultured bacterium. Its description in RNAcentral is "partial 16S ribosomal RNA". It matches the Rfam family "Bacterial small subunit ribosomal RNA", at positions 28 to 507 of the family's 1533-position model. The record is from RNAcentral.